AUGACAAGAAGUGCAGCUUUUCUUGCUGUGGCCGUGCUGUUGUGCAUCAUACUGUCAGCAGAACCAUCUGAUGUCCUGCGAUGCACAGGGGAGAGACAACGCGAUGGGCAGCUCUACUUCAACAUGUCAUAUGGCCUUAAAGAGGACGUCGAUGACUGCGAGACCCAAUGGGUCAUCAAUGGAAGCGUGGCAGGGAUUUCUAAUGCUGAUGGAAAUAUUUUCAUACCCCCACUUGUAAUGGCAACAGCAAACACUGCCAUCUUACAGACCUGCCCUGAAAAACUUGAAUGCCUGCUCAUCUGCCCCUCCGCCAGUAUCAACACUAGGGAACAGUGCUCUUGUGAUAUCACUUCUCCGACUACACUUCCUGAAGUUGGUUUUCCUGGCCGGAUCGUUGGUGCUGGGAUUGGAGUGAGUGUAUCCGUGAUUCUGUUGUUCUAUGUCACCAUUGUGCUUUACAAGAAAAAAAAAAGGUCAGGAUAUGCUCCAGGUCGUGCUGAAACUGUUUGAUUCUG
This is a long non-coding RNA of Cyprinus carpio (common carp), 515 nucleotides long. NCBI's taxonomy places the organism in Eukaryota, Metazoa, Chordata, Actinopteri, Cypriniformes, Cyprinidae. The record is from Ensembl.